CCUACGGGCGGCAGCAGUGAGGAAUAUUGGUCAAUGGACGAGAGUCUGAACCAGCCAAGUAGCGUGAAGGAUGACUGCCCUAUGGGUUGUAAACUUCUUUUAUAUGGGAAUAAAAUGUUCCACGUGUGGGAUUUUGUAUGUACCAUAUGAAUAAGGAUCGACUAACUCCGUGCCAGCAGCCGCGGUAAUACGGAGGAUCCGAGCGUUAUCCGGAUUUAUUGGGUUUAAAGGGAGCGUAGGUGGAUUGUUAAGUCAGUUGUGAAAGUUUGCGGCUCAACCGUAAAAUUGCAGUUGAAACUGGCAGUCUUGAGUACAGUAGAGGUGGGCGGAAUUCGUGGUGUAGCGGUGAAAUGCUUAGAUAUCACGAAGAACUCCGAUUGCGAAGGCAGUUCACUGGACUGCAACUGACACUGAGGCUCGAAAGUGUGGGUAUCAAACAGGAUUAGAUACCCCAGUAGUC
This 460-nucleotide ribosomal RNA is filed under the name uncultured bacterium. RNAcentral describes it as "partial 16S ribosomal RNA". It matches the Rfam family "Bacterial small subunit ribosomal RNA", at positions 338 to 795 of the family's 1533-position model. The record is from RNAcentral.